UAUUUUUAUUUUGUUUUUAUGAUCAUGUAACAGGUUGAAUAGUAUACCUCCAAAUUGCUCUGUACUCGGAACCUCAAAAUGUGACCUUAUUUGGGAAUAGAGUCUACAUAAAUAUUAGUUAUGAUAAUAAUGGUGAUGAUGAGGAUAUAGUCUGUAUUAGCUUUACACGGUUGCUGUAACAAAUUGCCACAGACCAGGUGGCUUAAGGCCACAGAAAUGUAUUCUUUCACAGUACCAGAGGCCAGAAGUCUGAAAUCAAAUUGUCAGCAAGGUUAGUUUCUUUUGAAGUCUCUGAGCAAGAAACCAACCCAGACCUCUCUCCUAGCUUCUGAUAGUUGCCAGCAAUCCUUGGCGUCCUUGGCUUGUGGGUGCAUCUCUCUAAUCCCUGCCUCCAUCUUCCCACGGCAGUCUCCUCUUUGUGUAUCACUCUGUUGCUAUUGUCUUGUAAGGUCACCAGUUAUUGGAUUUAGGGCCCACUCUAAUCCAGUAUCCUCAUCUUAAUUACAUCUUCAAAGACCCUAUUUCCACAUAAGGUCACAUUUUGAGGUUCUCAGUAGAGAGGAAUUUUGGGGGACACUGCUACAUAGUCAUAAAAAACAAAAUAAGAAUAUAGGCAUAAAAAUAAAAUUCUAAACAUACCUGUCUGAUGAAAGAUUCUAAUUAGAUUGGUCAUGACCAAUGUAGGUUUUAUCUGGAGUAGCUAUGGAACCUUUCCAAGGGAUGUAUUUUGUUGACAAAUUCCAGUUUUCAAGUUUUUUUCAAUCUUUGGGUAGGUCUGUAGGGCCCUAGAAAACUGGAUAAUUCAUGAGAAAAAUCCUGUUUUUCUGCCUCACCCAGUUUAUGGUUUAGUCUUAUCCUCGCUCAUCUCAGUAUGAGAUGCCAUAUCUUUAUUCAGCACCAUCAGAGAAAUAGAGGGUUUUGGCCAAAGUCUCUUGUUGGUGAGAGUAUCCAUGAAUCCCCCACUUGUAGCUAGCUCAGGAAGAAUUUUCAGUACUGUAAAAUUCAUGAAACAUGGACACACUGAUGAAUGUAAUAUGGUCCUGCUUUAAUGAUUCAGAAGCACAUCAAGGUUAUGCUUUAAGGCCAUAAUUUUGAGCAACAGUCUUAACUGCAGUAGAAAUAUGUGGAUGAUGGCUAAUAGAAAAUCUCCAUUAACCAACAGCUAGACUGGAAGGGACUAGCUCUUUUUCCCUUCACUUAAAAGUUAAUAAAUAAGUGAAUUGGGAUGGCAAUUAAGCUCACCCUUUUUGCUUUAUACGCCAAUAUUUCUGUACAUGAUUGUAGUCUCUGGGUAGGGUUGAGGAUGCUGUAUCAGAGACCACGAGAGGAUUUUCCUGGUGGCACAACUUCAGGGCCAACAUUGCCCUGGGAAUUUUUUUCUCAUUCUCCAUGCAUCUCCAAAAAUGAUGCACUCAUUCUGGAGAAAAGGAUAUUAUCACCUCUACAGAGAUAUAAGAUGUAUUGCUUUAAUGCUCAUGCAGUUUGGAUGGGUUGGGAUGCUUAGAUAAAAUACUAUACAAAAAUACAAAACAGUGCUCAUUGGAAUUUCAAAUCAUCUCCCCUGCACCCUUUUAAACUACUUUAUAUUUAUUGGUUAUGUCCUGCUGGGGCCAUUAGACCUUUGAUUGUAUAGUGUUUCCUUUUUACACCUCUAUUUUCACGUAUUUUUGACAUAGGGAGUAUGUUUUCAAGCCAGAGGGGAUUUUACCUUAAACAAAAUGUGAGGGAAAAAACUAGCCACAAUUAAAAUUAAAGAAGUUAGUGUUUUCAGAUAGUAUUUUGUACCUCUAUAACUUAACAUGAGAUUUUAAAAAAUAUAAUAUUGUUGAUUUACACAUUAUCAGAUAUUUGUAUUAGGAUUUGGGACCUAAAACAAGGAAGUGAUUAGUCAUUCAUAGUGGGAAACAAAGUCUAUAGAGAUGACCAGUUUGGAAUAAUUAAUGUUGUCACAGAGACAAGGCUGCAAACAUCUGUGUUCAUUCCUAGUAUCAACAUCAUUUUGUUACAUAGGUGCUUGCUCUAUAGCUUUCCUUACAGCUAUUUUUAUCUUUUCUUUUUAAAUUUUAGCUUUUUAUUAUCAAGAAUAUUGGCUUAAGCUAAACAGCCCCAGCAUAAAUCCAGUGAUCUGAGAAAUUUUGGGUUGAAUUUAACACACCGCAAAGGAAAGGCAGGAUAUUCUCUUAGGAUAGUCUCCACACCUAUAGGUUCAAAAUUUUCCUUCAGAGCUGCACAGAAAAUAAGUAAUAGAUCUGUUAGAAUUGAAGACAGGGUUUCAUCUGAAAAUGUCUCUAUUCUCUAUACUUUGAGGGCCCUUAAAUUCAAAUACAAGGCUUGUGAGGCAAAAAGGCAUGCAAACCCAGACUAGUAAUAAUUUGCCUAUGCUUCUAACACCUUUGCCCUAAGUAAUCCCACAGAGCUAAACUUACACUCCUUCAAAUAUAGGAAAAAUGAGCUCAUUAAAUUUUAAUCAUCAAUAUGCUGCAACUAAUUAUAAUGUGUCUUGUCUUAACUCAUGACUGCUGUAUAAUAAAUUCAAUUACUUUGGUUUUCUUUUCUAUUCACAUAAACUGAUCUCCAGUGAAAGGAGAGUUGCAAACUCCCAUGAAUGAAGGGAAUGAGUAACCCUUAAUUUUCAAAUCGUGACCUCAUUAGAGCAUGUGUGUAUGUGUGUGUGCACGCGUGUGUAAAAUUUGUUUUUCUAAGGAGGAGAAAGUCAACACUUUGAUAAUUAGACACCCCCCUUCUUGGGCCUCGAGGGUGUCCUAAUAAAGAAAAUUUUAUACAUUGAUGUGCUUCUCAUCUCUUCAUUUCUUUGUUCUAUCAUCCUGUUGUUAAUAGCACCCUGCAGCAAAAAAAAAUGUUUGUGAAGCUAAGAGCUGUCCAGAUAAGAGAAAAGGUCAUGAUCUCCCUCCUGCGUGUUCAUCAGCCAACGAACAACAAUCUGAAACUCAAGAUUCCUGGCAUCUCCUUUGGUGACUACCACCCCUCACUCCACACACAAACACACAUGUGCAGAGAACAAAUAUACCUCCAAUACACCUUUAUCAAAAAUAUAGAGUAAAUAAAAAAUCAAGACAUGAAGAAUGUACCUGCUGGAAAUGACUGUUUUUUUUUUAUCCUGAAUUUCCAAAAGAAACUGCUGAUCAAUUGUGAAGAAUGUGGUUGCAAUAAAAGUGAAUAUUAAGUGGAGGUGCAGUGGGGGCAGGGAGUGAAGACCAACUAAACCACAGUACCUGGUGAGGGUGCAGUUUGGGGCCUCUCUUGGUGGCUGCCCAGUACCCUUUGAAGUGCAUAUGCUGCAUGGAUGCAUGGGUGCCUGGAGCUCAGCUAGAAUGCCAAAUCCAUUCUCUCCUCUCUCUCCCUUUCUGUUGCAGAGACAGAGGCAAGGGCAAAAAUCGUUGCAGCUCUCGUAUUAUGAACCAGGAUGUUUAUUGGUGAUUUCUCUAUAAUUUGCAGGGAGAAAUAGAAUACGAUCUAAGAACAUUGGAUUCAACUAAAUAUUCAAGCUUU
This 3510-nucleotide long non-coding RNA is filed under the name Homo sapiens (human). RNAcentral describes it as "HSALNT0220446". The record is from RNAcentral. Lineage: Eukaryota; Metazoa; Chordata; Mammalia; Primates; Hominidae.